This 440-nucleotide ribosomal RNA is filed under the name uncultured bacterium. RNAcentral's name for it is "partial 16S ribosomal RNA". It matches the Rfam family "Bacterial small subunit ribosomal RNA", at positions 338 to 795 of the family's 1533-position model. The record is from RNAcentral.
CCUACGGGUGGCAGCAGUGGGGAAUAUUGCACAAUGGGGGAAACCCUGAUGCAGCGACGCCGCGUGAGUGAUGAAGUAUUUCGGUACGUAAAGCUCUAUCAGCAGGGAAGAACAUGACGGUUCCUGACUAAGAAGCCCCGGCCAACUACGUGCCAGCAGCCGCGGUAAUACGGAGGGGGCACGCGUUAUCCGGAUUUACUGGGGGUAAAGGUAGCGUAGACGGCAGCGCAAGUCUAGAGUGAAAUCCCAUGGCUUAACGAUGGAACUGCUUUGGAAACUGUGCAGCUAGAGUGCAGGAGAGGUAAGCGGAAUUCCUGGUGUAGGAGUGAAAUGCGUAGAUAUUAGGAGGAACACCAGUGGCGAAGGCGGCUUACUGGACUGUAACUGACGUUGAGGCGCGAAAGCGUGGGGAGCAUACAGGAUUAGAUACCCGAGUAGUC